GAAGUGUGCGAUGAAAGCGCACAGGCAAACUCUUGGUGCCUACAAAUCAGCUGAACUCCAAGUUGCCAUGACUAGUAUUUUUAUCUGGCUUUUAGCACUGGUCUCCUAUGCCCCCUUUUUUGCAGGAGUCAUACUAGAUGCAACCAUGCAGUUGUGCCCCACCGAGGCGUACCCGAGCGUCUUUGUAUUCCGAAACUGUACGGCUAUGAUGAUAACCAUGAACAGCUUGGGGAACCCCAUCAUCUACACACUGAAAGUCAAAAACCUGGGGCAUAAGCUCAGAUUGCUGAAGUGCCCGUCCAGCAACCGCAUCCAAGUGCAGGCUAUUGGGAAUAGGUAAUCUUCCCUGAAAUUGCAUAAGGAGGACUAGAACUGCAUGGCUCGAAUCAGACAGCACACCCGGUAUAUUCAUGUCGGUAACUUUAACACGGUACAGAUCUACUUUUCCAAGCUAGUUUCUUUUCUAUAGACUCUGGCUGCCUCCUGUGAAGCUGAACUCAAAUUUGGCCGUGUCGUAGAUUGGCUUACAACUGGGGAUCCACUUCAGAACUGGAGUGACGGGACAGCUCCCUGGUAAGGUUUGGGACAAAGCAGGACAGAGGUUUGGGGCAAUUCUCCCGUUGGAAUAAACCACACUGGAUCGGGAAUCUAAGUGUCUUGCCUGGCAUUGUAUCUGUGAAGAAAUUCAUAACUGAACACUUAGGGGAGCAAAAAGGGGAAAAAAAAAAAAAAAAAAAAAAAAAAAAAAAAAAAAAAGCAAAAAAAAAUCGUGUUUCUGAGUUGAUACUGACCGUGACCAAUUAUUAGACUGUAUUUAGAAAUGCGAUCUAUCAAAUGGUUUCUUAGGUUGCUUCUCUGGGAGCAUUUCCGCAUCUUUUCUUUGUCUCAUUAUGAUAAAAGUAGCAAUAUUGGCGUUUCAAAAGGACAAAGCAAAAUGAGUGGCUUUUACAGUGUGUGAACUGGAAUUGAAUUUCCAGUUAAUCCUUGAAUCCUAAACACAAUGGAUAGGAGCAGCUGUAGUGUGUUUGCUGACAUUUCUCAGUUGUGUGCCUGAUUUGUCUAUCUCUUUAUUAGACACCCAAAGUUUAUUUUGCAUUAAGAGAUCAAAAUCAACCCAUUGUGAAUGUUUGUUUUGCAGUUGGAAAUGUGCCUGACCUGCGCUGGAACGGCUACCAAAACGUUGUUCGUUCUUUGUACUGCUUUAUCAGCCUAAACGCCCUUGGGAGCCCUUUGGUUGAUUUGCAAGCACAUUUUCAGAAAAUGGGAAACAAAUUAAAGUUUCAAUUCUUUAUUUAAAACCAGUAAAAAAAUGCAUUUGUAAGUCUGUUCUUGUACAUUUUUAAUAUAACACUUAACGUUUUUGACUGUAGCACUUUCGAUUGCCAAAUGAGUCUUUUUGGGAAACAUUGACAACCAUGUAUUUUUAAUAAAUUUUUCUGGCUUUUACUUCUCAUACCUCACCCCCUGUGACUUGAAUGUUUGAACAGUAGCUUCAGUUAAAAAAAAAAAAAAAAA
Molecule: long non-coding RNA, 1515 nt
Organism: Gavialis gangeticus (Gharial)
Lineage: Eukaryota; Metazoa; Chordata; Crocodylia; Gavialidae
Exons: 2
Source: RefSeq, a predicted model, not a curated record